Molecule: ribosomal RNA, 301 nt
Filed under: uncultured bacterium
Lineage: Bacteria
Description: partial 16S ribosomal RNA
Rfam family: Bacterial small subunit ribosomal RNA
Source: RNAcentral
CAGUAGCCGCGGUAAUACAGAGGGUGCGAGCGUUAAUCGGAUUUACUGGGCGUAAAGCGUGCGUAGGCGGCUUCUUAAGUCGGAUGUGAAAUCCCUGAGCUUAACUUAGGAAUUGCAUUCGAUACUGGGAAGCUAGAGUAUGGGAGAGGAUGGUAGAAUUCCAGGUGUAGCGGUGAAAUGCGUAGAGAUCUGGAGGAAUACCGAUGGCGAAGGCAGCCAUCUGGCCUAAUACUGACGCUGAGGUACGAAAGCAUGGGGAGCAAACAGGAUUAGAUACCCCGGUAGUCCCUGUCUCUUAUAA